AUGGCCAUGGCAGGCGUAGGAAGUCAGAGAGGUUCGUCGUCGUCGUCGAGGAUGCUCCUGCCGCGGAACAUCAGCCUCUCUACCGGGCAUCUCCCGGAAGCACUGGGCGGAGUCCCUCCGCCGCUCCGGCCAAACGUCAUCAACCCUUACGGCCGCCCCUACAGGUGCGCGCGGCUCGAUCGCCUUGGCAUGUCCACGUGCUAUACGAGGUUGAACGACGGAGUUGAUCUCGAUCGCAGGUACUGGCAGAUGUUCCUGAUCGUGCUGGUGGCCUACUCUGCGUGGGCGUCGCCGUUCGAGCUGGCCCUGGAGAAGGCCGCCUCCCGGGCGCACCUCGUCGUGGACCUGGUCGUCGACGUCUUCUUCUGCGCCGACAUCGUCGUCUCCUUCUUCGUCGCGUACCGCGACAGGUCCACCGACCUCCUCGUCGACGACCGUAGCAAGAUCGCCGCCAGCCACAGCUCCAAGAAUACGCGGAGGAGGUGGCCCGGGUCGGUGUCGGCGCCGUCCGGCACGGGCCACGGGCCCGCUUCCAAGCGCGUCUGCGCGUCGGCCACCCACGCCGUGUCCUUCAAGUGCCACUUCCACCGCACCAACUCACAGGGUCACGGCCAUGGCCAGGGCCAGGGAAGCCGCCCUUCUUUGCCCCCUUCACCGGCCGCGGCCAACGCGGUGCCGCGGCACCCGGCCUCGCCGUCCUCGUCCUCCAGCACCGUCGCGACCCAGUUGGAGAAAGACACCAGGCUGAGCUACUUCUGGACUAGGUUUAUCAAGCUAUUCUGCGUGGCUCUGUUUGCGCUGCACUGCGCGUCGUGCGGGUACCUGUGGCUCGCGUUCCACUACCGGGACAAGGAGCAGACCUGGAUCGGCAGCCUCCGGGGCGACUUCAAGGAGCGCAGCGUGUGGUUCGCCUACACGUACGCAGUGUACUGGUCCAUGACCACCAUGGCCACGGUCGGCUACGGCGACCUGCACGCCGCCAACACCGGCGAGAAGCUCUUCAGCAUCCUCUUCAUGCUCUGCAACAUGGGCAUCGCCUGCUACGUCAUCGGCAACAUGACCAACCUCGUCGUCCACGGUGCCACCACCACAUUCCGCAUGGUGGCGAGGUACGGGAAGGCGAACCGGCUGCCGGUGUGGAUGCGGGAGCAUAUGGUGGAGAGCUUGCAGCUGAGGUUCCAGAUGGCGGAGCUGCUGAUGCCCGACGAGGUGCUUUCGGAGCUGCCCAAGGCCGCGCGGUCGGCCGUCGCGCAGCACCUCUACAAGGCCGCGGUCGAGGACUGCUACCUCUUCCGGGGGGUCUCGGACAACCUCGUCGUGCAGCUCGUCUCCGAGAUGAAGGCGGAGUUCUUUCCGCCCAAGAUGGACAUUGUCUUGGAGAACGAGAUCCCGACGGACUGCUACAUCAUCGCGUCCGGCCAAGUGGAUGUGUUGAGAACUGCUAAGGACGAUGGCCUGGAGAAGUUUGUCAUGCGGGUAGGGCCACAUGGCAUGGCGGGUGAUAUCGGCGUGAUGUUCAACAUCCCGCAGCCAUUCACCAUCCGGAGCAGAACCCUAACCCAGGUUAUACGCAUAAGCCGUAGCCACUUGCAGAACACCGUCCGGCCUGCUACUGCAGACGGGGACACUAUAUUCUCCAAUUUUGCUCAGUAUCUUGAAUCUCUGAAGGUGCGACAUGGAGAGGAGCUAACAUUUGCCAGAGAUGUCGGGCACGACACACUCCCGUUUCAGAACGGCGACCCGGUACGUGUUGCCAGAGAUGGUGGCAUGGCGGGCAACCGCGCGGCAGGGAAGCUCGUAUGUCUGCCCGGUUCACUCGAAGAACUGAUGAAGCUUGGCGAAGACAAGUUUGGAAUGGCGGCGAGACAUGUACUCACCGCCGACGGCGCGGAGGUGGAUGACGUUCGCGCGCUGAGAGACGGCGAUCACCUCUUCUUAAGUUGA
This 1944-nucleotide ribosomal RNA is filed under the name Triticum aestivum (bread wheat). RNAcentral describes it as "partial small subunit ribosomal RNA". Lineage: Eukaryota; Viridiplantae; Streptophyta; Magnoliopsida; Poales; Poaceae. The record is from RNAcentral.